Molecule: transfer RNA, 93 nt
Filed under: Cavia porcellus (domestic guinea pig)
Lineage: Eukaryota; Metazoa; Chordata; Mammalia; Rodentia; Caviidae
Rfam family: tRNA
About the family: Transfer RNA (tRNA) molecules are approximately 80 nucleotides in length.
Source: Rfam by way of RNAcentral
GCUCCAGUGGCGCAAUCGGUUAGCGCGCGGUACUUAUAUAAUAGUGCAGGCGAAGCGAUGCCGAGGUUGUGAGUUCGAUCCUCACCUGGAGCA